ACGAACGCUGGCGGCGUGCCUAAUCCAUGCCAGUCGAGCGGACUUUCAAGAAGCUUGCUUUUUGAAAGUUAGCGGCGGACGGGUGAGUAACACGUGGGCAACCUGCCUGCAAGACGGGGAUAACUCCGGGAAACCGGGGCUAAUACCGGAUAAUAUCUUCCUUCGCAUGAAGGAAGGUUGAAAGGCGGCGCAAGCUGCCGCUUGCAGAUGGGCCCGCGGCGCAUUAGCUAGUUGGUGAGGUAACGGCUCACCAAGGCGACGAUGCGUAGCCGACCUGAGAGGGUGAUCGGCCACACUGGGACUGAGACACGGCCCAGACUCCUACGGGAGGCAGCAGUAGGGAAUCUUCCGCAAUGGACGAAAGUCUGACGGAGCAACGCCGCGUGAGCGAAGAAGGUCUUCGGAUCGUAAAGCUCUGUUGUCAGGGAAGAACAAGUACCGUUCGAACAGGGCGGUACCUUGACGGUACCUGACCAGAAAGCCACGGCUAACUACGU
RNAcentral lists this ribosomal RNA (497 nucleotides) under uncultured bacterium. RNAcentral describes it as "partial 16S ribosomal RNA". It matches the Rfam family "Bacterial small subunit ribosomal RNA", at positions 29 to 506 of the family's 1533-position model. The record is from RNAcentral.